This 138-nucleotide ribosomal RNA is filed under the name uncultured Oscillospiraceae bacterium. RNAcentral's name for it is "partial 16S ribosomal RNA". It matches the Rfam family "Bacterial small subunit ribosomal RNA", at positions 193 to 332 of the family's 1533-position model. Lineage: Bacteria; Bacillati; Bacillota; Clostridia; Eubacteriales; Oscillospiraceae. The record is from RNAcentral.
UACUGAGGGAAAAGGAUUUAUUCGCCUUAGAUGGACUCGCGUCCAAUUAGCUAGUUGGUGAGGUAACGGCCCACCAAGGCGACGAUUGGUAGCCGGACUGAGAGGUUGAACGGCCACAUUGAGACUGACACACGGCCC